UACGAAGGGGGCGAGCGUUGUUCGGAAUUACUGGGCGUAAAGGGCGCGUAGGCGGUCCUUCAAGUCAGGCGUGAAAGCCCCGGGCUCAACCUGGGAACCGCGCUUGAGACUGGCGGACUCGAGUUCGGGAGAGGAUGGUGGAAUUCCCAGUGUAGAGGUGAAAUUCGUAGAUAUUGGGAAGAACACCGAUGGCGAAGGCAGCCCCCUGGGUUAACACUGACGCUCAGGCACGAAAGCGUGGGGAGCAAACAGG
RNAcentral lists this ribosomal RNA (253 nucleotides) under uncultured bacterium. RNAcentral describes it as "partial 16S ribosomal RNA". It matches the Rfam family "Bacterial small subunit ribosomal RNA", at positions 524 to 776 of the family's 1533-position model. The record is from RNAcentral.